AGUGAACGCUGGCGGUAGGCCUAACACAUGCAAGUCGAACGGCGGCACAGUAAGAGCUUGCUCUUACGGGUGGCGAGUGGCGGACGGGUGAGGAAUACAUCGGAAUCUACUUUUUCGUGGGGGAUAACGUAGGGAAACUUACGCUAAUACCGCAUACGACCUACGGGUGAAAGCAGGGGAUCUUCGGACCUUGCGCGAUUGGAUGAGCCGAUGUCGGAUUAGCUAGUUGGCGGGGUAAAGGCCCACCAAGGCGACGAUCCGUAGCUGGUCUGAGAGGAUGAUCAGCCACACUGGAACUGAGACACGGUCCAGACUCCUACGGGAGGCAGCAGUGGGGAAUAUUGGACAAAGGGCGCAAGCCUGAUCCAGCCAUACCGCGUGGGUGAAGAAGGCCUUCGGGUUGUAAAGCCCUUUUGUUGGGAAAGAAAAGCAGCAGGUUAAUACCCCGCUGUUCUGACGGUACCCAAAGAAUAAGCACCGGCUAACUUCGUG
This 492-nucleotide ribosomal RNA is filed under the name uncultured bacterium. RNAcentral describes it as "partial 16S ribosomal RNA". It matches the Rfam family "Bacterial small subunit ribosomal RNA", at positions 29 to 507 of the family's 1533-position model. The record is from RNAcentral.